UGGGGAAUAUUGCACAAUGGAGGGAACUCUGAUGCAGCGACGCCGCGUGAACGAAGAAGGCUUUCGAGUCGUAAAGUUCUUUUAUAUGGGAAGAUAAUAACGGUACCAUAAGAAAAAGCCCCGGCUAACUACGUGCCAGCAGCCGCGGUAAUACGUAGGGGGCUAGCGUUGUCCGGAAUCACUGGGCGUAAAGGGUUCGCAGGCGGAAAUGCAAGUCAGGUGUAAAAGGCAGUAGCUUAACUACUGUAAGCAUUUGAAACUGCAUAUCUUGAGAAGAGUAGAGGUAAGUGGAAUUUUUAGUGUAGCGGUGAAAUGCGUAGAUAUUAAAAAGAAUACCGGUGGCGAAGGCGGCUUACUGGGCUCAUUCUGACGCUGAGGAACGAAAGCGUGGGUAGCAAACAGG
Molecule: ribosomal RNA, 403 nt
Filed under: bacterium
Lineage: Bacteria
Description: partial 16S ribosomal RNA
Rfam family: Bacterial small subunit ribosomal RNA
Source: RNAcentral